GUGUCAGCCGCCGCGGUAAUACGUAGGCAGCAAGCGUUGUUCGGAAUUACUGGGCGUAAAGAGUGUGUAGGCGGUGCUCUAAGUUUGGUGUGAAAUCUCCCGGCUCAACUGGGAGGGUGCAUCGAAAACUGGGGUGCUCGAGGGUGGGAGAGGUAAGCGGAAUUCCUGGUGUAGCGGUGAAAUGCGUAGAUAUCAGGAGGAACACCUGUGGUGUAGACAGCUUACUGGACCACUUCUGACGCUGAGACACGAAAGCGUGGGUAGCAAACAGGAUUAGAUACCCUGGUAGUCCACGCCCUAAACGAUGCAUACUUGGUGUGAGUCAUUCAUUUGAUUCGUGCCGGAGCUAACGCGUUAAGUAUGCCGCCUGGGGAGUACGGUCGCAAGGCUGAA
Molecule: ribosomal RNA, 393 nt
Filed under: uncultured bacterium
Lineage: Bacteria
Description: bacterial SSU rRNA
Rfam family: Bacterial small subunit ribosomal RNA
Source: RNAcentral